AUGAGUUAGUCUACACAUCUCUGAAGUGGACUGGACUGAGCUGAUAAAUUCUUCUCUCGGAAGGCAGGGCAGACAGAACUCACAUGGAACUCACAACGGCAGUUGGUACAGAAGUCAUAGCCACAACGCAUGCAUUGAGCUCGCUGACCGUUCAUGAGUAAUUUUGCGGGUGACUGGCAGGCGUCUUUGGCACACUUGGUUAGGGAUUCAUCAGCUAGGAGAGAUUCUGAGGCCUGAUUGGGAGAAAAAUCAUACCAUUUUUAAAUAUUAUGGUUGUCAAAACGCACAUACAUGUAUAUGUAACAACAUGGCGUCUGCCACAAGAUUUUAGCCAGAAGGGUUUAACCAUUGUUUCAAGCAUUGAGAAACUGGACUGUUUUUAUAAUUGUUAUAAUCUGUUGUAAUUUGAAAUGUUUGGUAUAUGUUCCCUGAAUUAUCAAGGCCUUUAGGGUAUAAAAAAGUUUGAUUAAGUUCGAUUCUCAACGACUACACAAACCUGACGGAACUUGUCAUGGUUACUCAGUCUCGGAGCUGGUGUACUUGAGGCUUGAGGCUCACCGAGUCGUUGAACUUCCCCAAGUGGUGUGGCUGCACUGACUGUAUCACGCAGGAAAGGCUGCUUUGGGUAGUUCUCCUGUUGGAGUAUAAAUCAGGUUAUAAAAUUAAAGCAAAAAUGUUACGAGGUUCUC
Molecule: long non-coding RNA, 689 nt
Organism: Acanthaster planci (crown-of-thorns starfish)
Lineage: Eukaryota; Metazoa; Echinodermata; Asteroidea; Valvatida; Acanthasteridae
Source: RefSeq, a predicted model, not a curated record